GACGAACGCUGGCGGCGUGCCUAAUACAUGCAAGUAGAACGCUGAAGGAGGAGCUUGCUUCUCUGGAUGAGUUGCGAACGGGUGAGUAACGCGUAGGUAACCUGCCUGGUAGCGGGGGAUAACUAUUGGAAACGAUAGCUAAUACCGCAUAAGAGUAGAUGUUGCAUGACAUUUGCUUAAAGGGUGCAAUUGCAUCACUACCAGAUGGACCUGCGUUGUAUUAGCUAGUUGGUGGGGUAACGGCUCACCAAGGCGACGAUACAUAGCCGACCUGAGAGGGUGAUCGGCCACACUGGGACUGAGACACGGCCCAGACUCCUACGGGAGGCAGCAGUAGGGAAUCUUCGGCAAUGGACGGAAGUCUGACCGAGCAACGCCGCGUGAGUGAAGAAGGUUUUCGGAUCGUAAAGCUCUGUUGUAAGAGAAGAACGAGUGUGAGAGUGGAAAGUUCACACUGUGACGGUAUCUUACCAGAAAGGGACGGCUAACUACGUGCCAGCAGCCGCGGUAAUACGUAGGUCCCGAGCGUUGUCCGGAUUUAUUGGGCGUAAAGCGAGCGCAGGCGGUUAGAUAAGUCUGAAGUUAAAGGCUGUGGCUUAACCAUAGUACGCUUUGGAAACUGUUUAACUUGAGUGCAAGAGGGGAGAGUGGAAUUCCAUGUGUAGCGGUGAAAUGCGUAGAUAUAUGGAGGAACACCGGUGGCGAAAGCGGCUCUCUGGCUUGUAACUGACGCUUGAGGCUCGAAAGCGUGGGGAGCAAACAGG
RNAcentral lists this ribosomal RNA (764 nucleotides) under uncultured Streptococcus sp. RNAcentral describes it as "bacterial SSU rRNA". It matches the Rfam family "Bacterial small subunit ribosomal RNA", at positions 28 to 776 of the family's 1533-position model. Lineage: Bacteria; Bacillati; Bacillota; Bacilli; Lactobacillales; Streptococcaceae. The record is from RNAcentral.